GUCGAAGUUCGGAAUAGCCUUGUUGCUAGAUAUUUCUCAUGAAUCAAAUGCGGUUUAAAGAAAAUAGAGAAGAAUGAAUCCAGUUCAAGCCCUAUCGAUUUAAUUUUUUUGUUAAUCGUUCAUUAAAAAAAAUUGUUAAAUACA
This is a long non-coding RNA of Bombina bombina (fire-bellied toad), 144 nucleotides long. RefSeq lists it as uncharacterized. The record is from RefSeq and is a predicted model, not a curated record. The transcript is spliced from 2 exons. Lineage: Eukaryota; Metazoa; Chordata; Amphibia; Anura; Bombinatoridae.